GUCCGUUCAUCCCUUCGGGGACGCAUGAGAACUAAGCAUGGAACGGGGCUUAGU
This 54-nucleotide non-coding RNA is filed under the name unclassified sequences. The record is from Rfam.